UAGACUCAGUGUUCACACACACACACACUCUCUCUCACUGGUUAACUUACUCAGGUGGAGAAACAUGGAGAAGCUAUCAGUUCUUGAAUGAUCAUUCAUGGCGAAGUUUUGGGUUUUUGAUGGCAGAACAUUAGCAAAGAAAAUAAAGACAUCUGGUCUUCCUUCAGUAGAUGAAGUCAAGGACAGUGGAGCCAACUGGGAAUGUCCACAAUGCAGUUGCAGAAUAGAUAAAUGUGAUGAUUGGCCUGGGCUCCCCAGUGGAGUGAAAUUUGACCCAACUGAUGUUGAAUUGUUGGAUCAUUUAGCAGCUAAAUGUGGAGUUGGGAAUGAAAGGCCGCAUGAAUAUAUCGACGUGUUCGUUCCUACAAUCGAUGUUGAGCAAGGAAUAUGUUACAAACAUCCCGAAAAUCUACCUGGCGCAAGAAAAGAUGGUAGCAGUUUUCAUUUCUUCUAUCAGACCACAAACGCAUACGCCAAAGGCCAACGAAAGCGUAGGAAAGUCUGCAAUAGAUCUAAUGUAGAAAUGGAUGUCCGUUGGCACAAGACUGGCAACACUAAGGCCAUAUUUAAAAAUGGAGUACAAAUCGGAUGCAAAAAGAUAAUGGUACUUUAUGGGUUCACUGUUGGGGGAUCAAAACCUUGUAAAACGAACUGGGUUAUGCAUCAAUAUCAUCUAGGAACAAACGAAGAUGAGAAGGACGGUGAAUACGUGGUUUCAAAGAUAUUUUAUCAGGCACAAAAGGGGACUCAUGAGAACACUACUGUUUGUAUUGUAGAUGAAGAUUCGGAUCCUAGAACUCCAAUGAUCAAUGCUUCUGAUCCGUUACGGCCAGGAAAGACUCCCCUAUAUGAAGAUGUCACAUGUGAUUAUGUUAUCCAGUCACCAGCACAGGAAUCGGAGUGCUAUGAACAGAAAUACCUUGUUUCUUUUCCUACUGCUGAACUCAAGGAUGAUCUAAGCUUACCGGUUUGCGGGGAUGAUUCUAAAGCCAUAAAUUCGGAUGCAUUUCAUUACUCAUUCUCCGGAGAAGGCAAUAUGGAUGCCUAUUACCCUCUGUCGGGUUCGAGUUUCUGUACCAACAAUGCUGCAGGGGCCGCUAGGGACGUAUGUCCUGGAACCAUGGAGCUUAAGAAUCUGGACUUGGGUAGCCCACCUUAUGUCAACCUUGCGGUUUCGGAAUGCUCAAAGCCAAGAAGAUGAGACUGCGCAGACGAUAUAUAUAUAGGGUUACUGUGGUCAAGGAGACUGCACCAAUGAGAUGGGAGAGGGUCGAGUCACGAGGCCAUGUUCAGGAGAUUAGGGGGGAUGUGGUCGAACCAUGAGGUUGGCCAGUUGGGUACAAGGAUGGUGUUUGGAGAUAAUGCGGAGGAUUUGGUCGAGCCAAGUGGCUAGGGUCAGAAGAAAUGUGUCACUGAGGACAAGAAAGGAUCGUUGGCGAGUCACUGAGGAGGUUCCCUCUGCGACUUAACUCGUGGCGUGAGGGUAAAAUGGAGCUGUAUUUUCCAUGUGAAGAUAGCAAUUGUGGGCGGUUGGAUUGGUUAUGAGGAUGAAGUUUUCAAGUUUUAACCACAGUUUCUUUGGGAUAUCACACACCAGACAGACACACUCCUUAGCAACUUCCAUAAGAUUGGUUCAUGGAACACCAUCUUGUGGUUUCUAAGUUGGGACUCAUGUAUUUGGUAAUCAGUGACGUGUUUUCAGUGGACUAUGGUUGUCUUUGUAAUUAACUUAUGUGUUGUGUUGUUUAAGCCUGUCUGACAAUACAUUUAGGUACAAUGGUUUUUUUAUUUA
Helianthus annuus (common sunflower) is the source of this 1792-nucleotide RNA transcript. It is a transcript of the gene named SUPPRESSOR OF GAMMA RESPONSE 1, with no coding region annotated. The record is from RefSeq and is a predicted model, not a curated record. The transcript has 7 exons. Lineage: Eukaryota; Viridiplantae; Streptophyta; Magnoliopsida; Asterales; Asteraceae.